RNAcentral lists this unclassified non-coding RNA (1293 nucleotides) under Hevea brasiliensis (rubber tree). Lineage: Eukaryota; Viridiplantae; Streptophyta; Magnoliopsida; Malpighiales; Euphorbiaceae. The record is from RNAcentral.
CACAACUUCUCUCUCCCUCUGUGUAUCAAUAACUCCAUAAUUUUCACGUUCUUGAUACCUGUAGCUUUCGCUUUAACCUCCUACCCACCAAUACCGCACAGUUUCUCAUUACUUUUCUCCUAUCAUGGAUUGCUUGCAGAGUUGGCCUGAACCUGUUGUUCGUGUCCAGUCUUUGUCUGAAAGUGGCAUACGCCAAAUCCCACAGCGUUAUGUGAAGCCAGCUUCUCAUAGGCCCUCGCUGAAUAAUAACUAUGUACCUUCUUCUCAAAUGGAGGUUAACAUUCCUGUUAUUGAUUUCCAGAACGUUUUCUCUGACAAUCAAACUCUUCGUUUGGAGACCCUGAAGAGUAUCUCCAUCGCUUGUCGCAAGUGGGGUUUCUUUCAAAUAGUGAACCACGGUGUGAGACCUCAGCUUCUGAAGAGAGUGCGAGAGGUCUGGCGAGAGUUCUUUAACCAGCCGCUGGAAAUAAAGCAGGAGUAUGCAAAUUCUCCAGCUACUUACGAGGGCUACGGUAGUCGGUUGGGUGUGGAGAAAGGGGCCACCCUUGAUUGGAGCGACUAUUUCUUUCUUCACUAUAUGCCAGUUUCGCUGAGAAACCAGAGCAAGUGGCCUGCAGUGCCGGCUUCCUGCAGGGAAUUGAUAGCUGAAUAUGGAAGCGAAGUGGUUAGGCUUGGUGGAAAACUGAUGAGGAUAUUCUCUAAGAACCUUGGCCUUGAAGAGGACCAUCUUAUAAACGCUUUUGGUGGGGAUGAGAACGUUGGUGCGUGCUUGAGGGCAAAUUUCUACCCCAAGUGUCCCCAACCAGACCUUACACUAGGUCUCUCAUCACACUCCGACCCAGGUGGCAUGACCAUUCUUCUGCCUGAUGAAAAUGUCGCCGGACUCCAAGUCCGUCGAGACGACAGUUGGGUUACUGUUAAGCCAGUCCCAAAUGCCUUCAUUAUCAACAUAGGAGAUCAAAUUCAGGUACUGAGCAAUGCCAUAUACAAGAGCAUAGAGCAUCGUGUGAUUGUGAACUCUGAUAAAGAUCGAGUCUCGCUUGCCUUCUUCUACAACCCUAAGAGUGACCUGCUGAUUGAACCUGCCAAGGAGCUGGUGACAGAGGACCAACCACCUCUCUAUCAAGCAAUGACAUAUGAUGAGUAUAGACUUUACAUCAGGACGAAGGGUCCAUGUGGGAAGCAACAAGUGGAAUCUCUAAGGUGCUCUUGAUCAUUGAAUGUGGGAUCGGUAUAAAGACUAAAUUUGUUGGUCCUCCCAGUUGCAUCUAAAUUUAAAAAAAAAAAAAAAAA